Molecule: long non-coding RNA, 2832 nt
Organism: Parus major (Great Tit)
Lineage: Eukaryota; Metazoa; Chordata; Aves; Passeriformes; Paridae
Exons: 10
Source: RefSeq, a predicted model, not a curated record
GAGGAAGAAGAGGAGUGAGGAGGAGGAAGGCUUCGAGCUGGGCGUUGCUCUGGCAACGCCGCGGCCUUCGCCCCGUCAUGGCCCGUGAGGGCCGGGGGGCGCCUCCCCUCAGCCUCAACCCCGCCAAAACGAGGGGGGGAGGUUGCUGUUGCUUUUUAUUGAAGGCCUCAAUUAAAAUUAAUCUGGGAAGGAAGUAGCUGAAAACACUGGCUGCAUCUAUGUGUCUCUUGGAGGUCACUUGCUGAUUUAUCUUCAAUUCACAGCUCAUUAGAAGGUGUGUAACUCUUCAGAGAUGUUGUUAUUUAACAGGAAGGAGCGAUUCCCGUGGUCAUCAGAACCAAGCGCAGAAGCUGUUUCCUGAACCGGGCUUUUCUUGUAGUGACACUGGAGGAUCUGUUAAAUCCAGUGACUCAAAGAUUAUUCAUCUAUUCAAGAAUUUCGAGAGGUGAUGGGAAGAAAUGUUUCUUUGAACACCUGAGCUGUAGAGCUGCCAUGGUUUGGAUGUUGUUGAGUUUCAACAUUUGAGCAUCCAUCUCUAUCUUGUUUAAUCCUUCAAGGCAGAGAAUGGCAUAGGUUCCAUUCGCAAAUUUUCAGGAUUUUUCAUCCAGAGACUGAAUUUCAUUCCAGAAGAUUUUUGGAAAAGCAACUAAUUGGACUUAUGGAGUAGAUGGAUUUUAAAGUCCUGUGGUGCUGAAAGUUAUUAUGUAAAAUGGGUAAAUUGGAGUCUUUAAAGGAGCUGCCAACUUGCAUUUGCCUGAGUUACUUCAGCAGCGGAGAGGAGAGGAAGAAUUCCAGACACGUCAUCCUGAUUUCACAAGUCUGCAGAGAUCUCCAGAGUGGACUUACCCAUCUGUGUGAGCCCUUGGUAAUGAUACUUUCUUCCUGCUGGCACCCACCAUAGGCUGGCUCAGAGAAGCAGGGUGUUUCCUCACCAGUGAAUCCAAGCUGUGGUGUGUCUUGCCUCUCCUCUUUUCCUACCCCACGGUUCAUUUGGCACAUCCAGGAUUCCCCUGGUUUUGUCCAGCAUCCAUCACUCAGCCAGCUGCCUAAAGGUGAAGACAACCACUUUAUCUGCAAGAAAAUAUUCAUUUAUGGGACUUAUAGGUUUGAAAAAAGGAAAAUGGGCUUAAAGCCUUCCUCAGGACAGAGAUUUACUCACCAUUUUCUCCUGUGGUUCUGAAGUCUGAUGCCAAAUACAAUAUGGAGUAGUGGUCACUCACUUCAUACAAAGAGGUUUGAUUGCACUUCCAGCUGGAACUCCACUCCUGUAUUGUGAUUGCAACUUCAUGUUUUACUUGCAUUUUGCAGUCAUUCAGGGGCCAAGUUUUCAAGUUUUCCAGAUUUUGACUUGUUUUGAUUUCACUGCAAAAUCCUGCAAGAAUUUUGCCAACAGCAAGGCCAAUGUGUUUGAAAGCAGAUUGCAUUUCCAGUACCUAAAGCCUGGUCAGGUCGAUUGCUUUAUGUCUGUAAGGUCAGCACGGUUGAAGGCAUGAAGAUGAGGACAUCAAAGCCUUUGCCCACUUAUGACAAUUACUCUGGAAACAAACACAGCUCAGGAGACAAAUGUUAUAAACAACCUGUAAGUUCUGGUUCACAAAACAGAUGGGAAUCCAGAGAUACUUCUGAACUUGGAAAUGAAAUUUAUUCUCAAGGUAGUGGUUGAGCUCAUUAUCUGCUGUUCUUUCUAAAUGUAAAGUAAGGAGUGCAAUGCCCAUGUAUUCUGUCUAUAACAGCUGACAUGUUUUCUGCAUUCCUGUGUUUGCCUAAGAAGACAUGGAUAAUCAAUUUGAUGUGCAAAAUAUACUGCAUGGAUGAAUUCUGAUACAUAUCACUUGCCAUGGCUGUGCUGUUAUGAGGGGGAAAAACUUCCAGGAAGGAAACAGCAAGGAAAAUUUGCCUGAUAAUUUUCUCAUCAGUUUUUCUCCAAGGACAUAUCUGUAGGUGGAUUCUACAGACAGUGUUUGGGGUGUUUUCCCCCCCUUGAGUGUCUGGUUCUGUGUGUGUCAGCUACUUUCUCUUGCUGUAUUAGAAAUCAAAGCUACCUUAUCAUUUCAGGAUAAAUAUAUCCAUAUUUAUAUCUCUAUGUCUAUCUUCUAUAAUUCUAACUAGAAAAAACUAACCUGAAACAUUUAAUUUUAAGCCUUUGUUAUUAUUUAAAUAUAUAUUUAAAGUAAUUUUUUAAAUUCCCUACAUGCAUUACAAAUAACUUCCCAUCUGAUUGGGAAGCAGAAUAGGCAGGAACCAGCAGCAGACAGAUGUGAUUAUAAAAGAUGUUCUGUUUGUUGUAAUGAGACUUAUGGUCUUAAUAAACUCUUAGAAUGUUUUUAACACAACCAAAUUAAGUAAGUUUAAAAUCUGAUUUUCUAGUUCUAACCCUAUCACAUCACUUUUUGUCUUAUUUAUGAGAACAACCCCCCAAAUUUUCCUUAUUUUUAGAGAAUUUCUCACAAAAUAGAGUAUCUCUAGUUCCAGCAAAAUAAAAAAGGAAAUUUGUACGGAUAAAAAGCAUGAAUGACAAUCCUGAUCAUGUGGAAAAAAUCAAUCUGAGCUUAGACAUAGUUUCACAUUAGUCUCCUCCUUUCUUGGAAGUCCAUAUUUUCACCAGAAUAUCUAGCAGCAUUACGUGGCCUGUCAAAAUUUGCUCAUAAUAUUUCAUGUCCUUUUGCUGGAAAGAAACAGCUGGAUAUUUUGUGUCAUGAUGUGACCAAUCCACCUCUGUUGUUGUCAUUUUAAUUGCUGGGGCUGUAGUUUUAAAUCCUCCACAGAAGGUCUUUGUAGUGACAAGCGAACGGUUCACGCUUCGUAAGCAAACAUAAAGAAUGCUGCUGCUAA